AGGACGAACGCUAGCGGCGUGCCUAAGGUAUGCAAGUCGAACGGACCCGCAAGGGUUAGUGGCGAACGGUUGAGUAACACGUAGACAACCUGCCUCGAAGUGGGGGACAACAGCGGGAAACUGCUGCUAAUACCGCAUGUGGCCCUGUUCCGCCUGGGACGGUGGCUAAAGGCGCAAGUCGCUUCGAGAUGGGUCUGCGGCCUAUCAGUUUGUUGGUGGGGUAACGGCCUACCAAGACGACGACGGGUAGCUGGUCUGAGAGGAUGAUCAGCCAGACGGGGACUGAGACACGGCCCCGACUCCUUCGGGAGGCAGCAAUGAGGAAUAUUGCGCAAUGGGCGAAAGCCUGACGCAGCGACGCCGCGUGGGUGAGGAAGUUCUUCGGAAUGUAAAGCCCUUUUGUCGGGGACGAUCACAGACGGUACCCGGCGAAUAACGCCCCGGCUAACUACGUGCCAGCAGCCGC
This 466-nucleotide ribosomal RNA is filed under the name uncultured bacterium. RNAcentral describes it as "SSU rRNA". It matches the Rfam family "Bacterial small subunit ribosomal RNA", at positions 26 to 518 of the family's 1533-position model. The record is from RNAcentral.